AGAUUUGUUAGAUUCCAUACGGAAAUGCAAAACGAGGAAUGCGGGAGGGAGGGGUCUUGGAUAUAAUGUUCUUUCUUUGAAGUCUGUCCUGGUCCCGGCGAUUCUUCCCAGUCCUCGCUUCCUCGUUCUUUUUCUUUCCAUGGCGAUCUCCACGGCUCUCUGGAAGGCACGGUUCUCCGUCCCUUUCCCGAAACCCUGACCAUAAAGCCCUCAUUUUUACCCUUCGAAUCCUCGUCCGUGGGCCUUCCAUCGUGACCCAGACCCGAACAACGGAGCGUCCGAGAGACGACGACCGGGCGGUCGUCGAUUGCCGACCACCCACCAUGCCGUCGAUCUUGGUGCGGACUGCAAGGAAGGGAAUGUCAGAGAUUCUGUCAAGCUCAUGAACCUAAGCACUCUCCGAUUCCCGGGCCUUCUUCUCUUUGAGUGCUUGAGGAAAUCCAAGUGCUUUGGACGCCUGCUCGAUGGUUGAUCAAAUGGCUGAAUGAAGGACGGGAUCUUGGUUUGAUUCCAACGGUCCCGGAGGUGUUUGAGCUGAUGAGAGAGUUUUAGUUGUGAUCCGGUGCCCUGAGAGAGCUGGAGCUGUCAGAGAUUGGAAUCCAUGCUUAAAGACUGGAUAAUCAGAUCAGGCGUGAAGGGUGAUAUUUGGAAGGUUGAAGCUUUUGGAAAAUUUUGGGCAUCUCGAUAGAUUGGUGGAGUUCAUCAAGGAGACGCCAUUUGAGCCAGUAGCAGCAAUCUAGGAGUCAGUGGUUGACGCAAUGCAAUUAAGAUCAAAUCUAUGAUCAGCUGGAGGGAUCUCACCAGGAGGAACAACCAUUCUUCCCAGGAUCCUUCCAAGGAAGGGUCCUGUCGAUAUAACUGGUGAAGAUGUGGCAUCUGCUAUGGAUAACAGUGACAGAGCCACCUCAUCGAGUCAAACUCUAAAGUUCUUCCUAAUGUGAGGGAAGGUGCAAACCAAUGGACCCAAAUCAUCAAGGCUAUUUUGAGUUGGAGGGCGUUAGGGCCACCAGAAAAAUAUAUUAAAGGGAAACAGGGCAAAGGUUACAGACUCGGGUAAGUACAAACUCUCAACAGAGUGGAAGAGAAAACUACUGGGAGACAAAGAGGGUACAACAACAAUAAGAACAGAGCAGGAGAGUGAGACAGUGGGAAUUAGGUGUCGGGCAAGAAGAAGGCUACUCACUUUAUCUUUGACCAGAUUGCACCUAAGUCUUUGAGUUGGUUGGAGUUGCAGAGGACUGACCAAUCUUUGAAGAGAGACAAAACAUUGCCUGUAACCACCUGCAUCGAGGAAGCUCUCUGUAAGAAGAGCCUGGAGUUACGUUCCCUGUAGCAUCUCCAGACGAAGGCAGUGAAGAACAUUAGUAUUAUAGGUUGGGCAGACUUAGGAAACUUUGUUGCAUCCAAUCCAUGCACGUGUACCUGAAGGUCGACUGAGGGGGGAGGAUGCCCAAAGCCACACAAUGGAUUUCCAAAUCAUGGAGAAGAGGAGGCAGUAGGAGAAGAGAUGAUCCACCAUUUCUGGUGAUGAGCCACAUAUAGCACAAUCACCAAAGGAUUUGCCAAGCUUCUUUCCUAUAACAUCCCUGGUAUUCAAUUUAUGCUUCCAAUAUAGCUGCAGAAAACAUCGAAUUUUCAGAGGAAUGGAUAGACUCCGCAAGGUGGAAGCAAACCUACAAACAGUCCUAGAGGAGUUGAGGAAUUGAUAGAAGGUGGUGGAGAACUCGCCAUUGCAAGUAGCCUUCCAAACAAACCGGUUCUCAUUGCUGCAAAGCGUGAUAGAGUUCAAAAGACUGGAGAUGCAAUCAAGUUGGGUGCGUACGUCAGAGAAAGGAUUUGGAGGCAGUUUGAGAUGCCAAGUUCUUGAUCUAUGGUUUAAGUAACUUGGUAUUAUGCCAUUCUUGUUCCUGCAGAGCUUAAUACAUCAGGGAAUAGAGUUUGGAGCAGGGCAUCAGCGAUCUAAUUGUCCUUCCAGAAGAGGGUGCGAAGACUGUUGCGACAGUUGAAAUGAGUGUGAUUCCAAAAAGCAGGUAAGCUUUGGAUUACGUCUUGCCAUAAGGAGGAGCACCUCCUAGGUAGUCUCCAGAUAUUAGCAAACCUGACUUUCUUGUGGCAUGCCCACUGGACUUGCUUCUUCCACAGACCAGAGUCAUUUGAGAGCAGUCUCCACCCCCACUUGGCAAGAAGAGAGGUGUUGAGUUGGUGAAUGUCCUUGACCUCGAGGCUACUCUCCUCUUUCUUCAAGCAAACGGUGCUCCAACUCAAGUCAAAACAUAUAUGGAUUUUGAUGCCUUAUAGUUUAUAGAUGAAUUUUGAAAGCUAGUAUUAUAGAUGUAAAGUGGUGCACUGAAGAAUGGAAAAGGUAAACACCAUGCUUAAAAGUUGUAUAAUGCUAUAGUCUCUUUUUUUUUUUGAGAGAGAGAGAUAGAGAGAGAGAGAGAGAGAAUAUACUUUAAUAAUUCUUGUUCCUGUAUAAUUAUAUGCCCAUUUGAGUGAACCUUUAUGAUUUUUUUUUUUGUUGACUAACUGUACAUGUAAUGACAACCAAUAUAAUGAUUAUAAUUUAAUUUCUAAUGAUGGAAUUAGUAAAAUCUUCAGAUUGACCU
Molecule: long non-coding RNA, 2606 nt
Organism: Elaeis guineensis (African oil palm)
Lineage: Eukaryota; Viridiplantae; Streptophyta; Magnoliopsida; Arecales; Arecaceae
Source: RefSeq, a predicted model, not a curated record